AAGGUUAAGCAUAAAAGCGUAUAUGGUGGAUGCCUUGGCAGUCAGAGGCGAAGAAGGACGUGCUAAUCUGCGAAAAGUAUCGGUAAGUUGAUAUGACACGUUAUAGCCGAUAAUAUCCGAAUGGAGAAACCCGACACUAUUAAUAUUAGUGUCAUUGUUAAUUAAAUUCAUAGAUUAACAAAGCAAACCGAGGGAACUGAAACAUCUAAGUA
RNAcentral lists this ribosomal RNA (212 nucleotides) under Buchnera aphidicola. RNAcentral's name for it is "partial 23S ribosomal RNA". It matches the Rfam family "Bacterial large subunit ribosomal RNA", at positions 1 to 208 of the family's 2925-position model. Lineage: Bacteria; Pseudomonadati; Pseudomonadota; Gammaproteobacteria; Enterobacterales; Erwiniaceae. The record is from RNAcentral.